Molecule: microRNA precursor, 208 nt
Organism: Oryza sativa Indica Group (long-grained rice)
Lineage: Eukaryota; Viridiplantae; Streptophyta; Magnoliopsida; Poales; Poaceae
Rfam family: MIR812 microRNA precursor family
Source: Rfam
AAUAAGACAAACCCUGGGUUUCCGUGUCCAACAUUUGACUGUCCGUCUUAUAUGAAAUUUUUUUAUAAUUUGUAUUUUCAUUGUUGUUAGAUGAUAAAACGUGAUUAAUACUUUUAUGCGUGACUUGUCUUUUUAAUUUUUUUCAUAAUUUUUUCAAAUAAAACGGACGGUCAAAUGUUGGACACGGAAACCCAUGAUUUAUCUUUUU